Molecule: long non-coding RNA, 457 nt
Organism: Oenanthe melanoleuca
Lineage: Eukaryota; Metazoa; Chordata; Aves; Passeriformes; Muscicapidae
Exons: 3
Source: RefSeq, a predicted model, not a curated record
CCUGGGAAAAUACUACUCCAAACAAAUUUUGUUACUGAGAAACUGAAAUGCUGAAUAGAUGAGCAGAGGUUAGUGUUUCUAGUUUUACAAGUCAUUCCCGUGCAGGACAGUUCCACUGUGGGCUCUGUGGUGCUGCUGACCCGCUCUAGCAGCAAUUUAUCAUCGGCACUGACAGUCCUGGACCAACAUCUCCUGUGGAAAUCUGCAGUCCCUGCAGGGGAAAAGUCUGAAAGGUGGAUGGCUUUGAGAUCCGUCUGAUCGCUGUUGCACUCAAAGCCCAGCAUCACUGCUCCUGCCUUUGUGUCAGCUCUUGUGCCUCAGGGCCAAGGCUGUGCUGGCUUAAUCAGAGCAAUGGAGAGUGUGGCUGUGUGCAGUGGUUUCCUCCAGGAGCAGUGGAGGCUGCAUUGCCCUCAGCCUGUGGCCCUCUCUUAGAGCUACCUUGCUUAGGAGGCUAAAU